Apodemus sylvaticus (European woodmouse) is the source of this 2222-nucleotide long non-coding RNA. RefSeq lists it as uncharacterized. The record is from RefSeq and is a predicted model, not a curated record. The transcript is spliced from 3 exons. NCBI's taxonomy places the organism in Eukaryota, Metazoa, Chordata, Mammalia, Rodentia, Muridae.
UAAGGACCCAAGUAGAUGCCAAGAGACUUGCCACCGUGUAGCCUCUGGCUGGGCCCUGCCGGUCAUCUCAACAGGGGAGGAUUUUGCCUUCUCUAUCCUUCCCCCGUUGAUCCUCAAAGUUGAGCAAUUGGGACUCUCCUUAUUUCCCUCAAAAGGAGUUUGGUAGCUGAACAUACUGGCAUACCACGAAGGAAGAAACAUUGUGUGACUUACUGACCUCCAAAGUGUGCUGCAGACUCUAGAAGCCACCAAACCUGAGAUGAAAGGGAACAAAACAGGGAAGGAGAUGAAAAUUCCUGAAGACCAAGGGAUGCUGGCAAAGAAGCCUCUGAAAGGAAUCUCAUACGGAUGGAGGCAGAUUAAACUUGAGACAGAAGAGCCUUGAACGUCAGCUGCAAAAGACACCAUACUUGUGGUGGACCCUUGAACUGGAAUCUGGAAUCACAUCAAGCCUUUCUCUAGUCAGGUUUGCCUGUCCUCAGUAGUGGCCUAUUUGCCAUGACACCUUUGUUUUCACAGUCUGAGUUUGCUGGUGAGUGAAUACUGUGAAGAAUUUGGUGGAAGAUUACAGGGAAGAGAGUCCAUCCUACUUUUGGCAAACUUGGCGUCAGCCCUGUUUGGAAAACUGAAGCACAUAUUUGAAUGUGGAAGGCAGAACUGAAGAACAUUCUUGAAGAACACUAUCUAGAAUCCCACAGAUCAACACUAGCAUUUUUCUCACACUGACAGUCAUCUGCUCUUGGUGUAUACUGUUUUCAAGGAUGCUGUGCCUUCCUUCCUAGCAUAUCCCAUGUUCUUUCCUUAGACUGUAUUGUUCCUGAGGAGAAGUCACAGUGCCCAACUUCCCUGCAGCUCCUUGCUCAAAACCAAAAAAAAAAAAAUUAUUAAGCAACAAAUGAUAUUAACAAUUUUCUACCUGAGGUCUGCCAUAGUACAUUGUUUGAUUUGGUUCUUUGUUUUGGAGGUCUUUGCUGUAAACUUGGGUAAUUCAGCUCUCUGCCACAAAGGCAAAGAAAUAUGAUUUGGGUUUCUUCCUAAUGAUCUCAAAUUGAACCCCACAAUAAUCCCCAACUGAACUACUGGUUGUGUGAACUUUUCCUGGGAACAUAUACAAACAUCUAUUCACCCCAGAUAUGACACAAAGAACACAAGAAACAAUUCCAGCCAAAAUUAGAUUGGUGAACUGAUAUUCUUAAUAUCAGCACAGGUGAUAGUUUACAUACAGGUUAUUUAAAGGUAAAGGUGCAAUUUAAAAGUACUUGAGAAGCUACACCACUCAAGAAAAUGUCUUUUUCUCUAGGUGACUUUAACUUCCUAUAUAUCUUCAGGGAAUGUGGGGAGGACUUAGGAGUCCCCUCUUCUCCACUGUAAAUCUGUCUAAGGUAUCAGUUAGCUUAUCUCCAGUAGAGUUAGAGCCCAGCGGUGGUGUCGCACUCCUUUAAUCCCAGCACUUGGGAGGCAGAGGCAGGCAGAUUUCUGAGUUCAAGGCCAGCCUGGUCUACAGAGUGAGUUCCAGGACAGCCAGGGCUACACAGAGAAACCCUAUCUCGAAAAAGGAAAAAAACAACAACAACAAAAAGUAGAGUUAGAAUAAAGUACACUCUUCAAUGCUAUAUAGUACCUUAAACUGGUUCCUGAAAGCACAUUAAUGGAAAAAAAUAAUGCUGAAAUUAGAAUAAAUUCUAGAGUUCAGAAUACUAUAUCGACAUUAGUUUUGAAAAACACACAGCAGAUAAAAGCUUGGGGAGUGUAUGCGGAUUCACCAUACUGUCUUGACAACUUUUCUGCAGAGUAAAAAUGAUUUUUUUUCUCUGCCAUUCUCUGCAACUCUUCCAUCUGGGGAUUAGCUCAUUCCAGAGAGCCACAGAUGAUCCCAGAAGGGUAUCCACUUGUCAUGCAUCUGGAAGCAUGGAGUUUUGCAAGUGUCAAUUUUGGGGGCUUGGGAAAUGGCUCAGUUAGAGUAGCUGCUAUGCAAGUGUGAGGAUCUGAAUUUGAAUCUCUAGCACCUACAUUUAAAAAGCCAGGCAUAGCCACCCAUGGGGUAUAAUCCCAGCCCAGUGGGAGCAGAAGAAUGGGGCUUGAUGGUGGUCAUUCUGGCUCCAGGUUUGUUGAGGGGUCCUGUCUUUUAAGAUGAGACCUGACAGUCAUCCUCCUUUGGCUUCCAAACAGGCUUAGAUGUGCCCAUAACCACACAAACUCACAUACACACGUACAAUGGGGGG